GACGAACGCUGGCGGCGUGCCUAAUACAUGCAAGUAGAACGCACAGUUUAUACCGUAGCUUGCUACACCAUAGACUGUGAGUUGCGAACGGGUGAGUAACGCGUAGGUAACCUGCCUGGUAGCGGGGGAUAACUAUUGGAAACGAUAGCUAAUACCGCAUAAUAUUGAUUAUUGCAUGAUAAUUGAUUGAAAGAUGCUAUUGCAUCACUACCAGAUGGACCUGCGUUGUAUUAGCUAGUAGGUGAGGUAACGGCUCACCUAGGCGACGAUACAUAGCCGACCUGAGAGGGUGAUCGGCCACACUGGACUGAGACACGGCCCAGACUCCUACGGGAGGCAGCAGUAGGGAAUCUUCGGCAAUGGACGAAAGUCUGACCGAGCAACGCCGCGUGAGUGAAGAAGGUUUUCGGAUCGUAAAGCUCUGUUGUAAGAGAGGAACGGGUGUGAGAGUGGAAAGUUCACACUGUGACGGUAUCUUACCAGAAAGGGACGGCUAACUACGUG
This 504-nucleotide ribosomal RNA is filed under the name uncultured bacterium. RNAcentral describes it as "partial 16S ribosomal RNA". It matches the Rfam family "Bacterial small subunit ribosomal RNA", at positions 28 to 507 of the family's 1533-position model. The record is from RNAcentral.